RNAcentral lists this ribosomal RNA (465 nucleotides) under Vreelandella stevensii. RNAcentral describes it as "partial 16S ribosomal RNA". It matches the Rfam family "Bacterial small subunit ribosomal RNA", at positions 338 to 795 of the family's 1533-position model. Lineage: Bacteria; Pseudomonadati; Pseudomonadota; Gammaproteobacteria; Oceanospirillales; Halomonadaceae. The record is from RNAcentral.
CCUACGGGCGGCAGCAGUGGGGAAUAUUGGACAAUGGGGGGAACCCUGAUCCAGCCAUGCCGCGUGUGUGAAGAAGGCCCUCGGGUUGUAAAGCACUUUCAGUGAGGAAGAACGCCUGGUGGUUAAUACCCAUCAGGAAAGACAUCACUCACAGAAGAAGCACCGGCUAACUCCGUGCCAGCAGCCGCGGUAAUACGGAGGGUGCGAGCGUUAAUCGGAAUUACUGGGCGUAAAGCGCGCGUAGGUGGCUUGAUAAGCCGGUUGUGAAAGCCCCGGGCUCAACCUGGGAACGGCAUCCGGAACUGUCAAGCUAGAGUGCAGGAGAGGAAGGUAGAAUUCCCGGUGUAGCGGUGAAAUGCGUAGAGACCGGGAGGAAUACCAGUGGCGAAGGCGGCCUUCUGGACUGACACUGACACUGAGGUGCGAAAGCGUGGGUAGCAAACAGGAUUAGAUACCCCUGUAGUC